CACCGCGGUUAGACGAGAGGCCCCAGUUGAUAGUAUCACGGCGUAAGGGUGGUCAAGGGCUUAAACUUAAUAAAGCUAAAUGGCCCCUCGGCCGUCAUACGCUUCUAGGUGCUAGAGACCCGAUAUACGAAAGUAGCUUUAAUAACCCCCGCCUGACUCCACGAAAGCUGAGGAACAAACUGGGAUUAGAUACCCCACUAUGCUCAGCCAUAAACCCAGACAUUUAAAUACAACUAACUGUCCGCCAGGGUACUACGAGCAUUAGCUUAAAACCCAAAGGACCUGACGGUGCCUCAGACCCCCCUAGAGGAGCCUGUUCUAGAACCGAUAACCCUCGUUAAACCUCACCACUUCUGGCCGUCCCAGCCUAUAUACCGCCGUCGCCAGCUUACCCUGUGAAGGAUAUAAAAGUAAGCAAAAUGGACAAACCCCAGAACGUCAGGUCGAGGUGUAGCGCAUGAAGUGGGAAGAAAUGGGCUACAUUUUCUUAUGAAGAACACUACGAAUGUGCAACAUGAAAAAGUGCCUGAAGGAGGAUUUAGUAGUAAAAAGGAACAAGAGUGUCCUUUUGAACCCGGCUCUGAGACGCGUACACACCGCCCGUCACUCUCCCCUGUCAAAAUGCAAUUAUUAUACCUAAUGCAAAAGCACUGACAAGGGGAGGCAAGUCGUAACAUGGUAAGUGUACCGGAAGGUGCACUUGGAUAAACCCAGGGUAUGGCUGAG
Molecule: ribosomal RNA, 726 nt
Filed under: Rhodeus notatus (rosy bitterling)
Lineage: Eukaryota; Metazoa; Chordata; Actinopteri; Cypriniformes; Acheilognathidae
Description: partial small subunit ribosomal RNA
Rfam family: Bacterial small subunit ribosomal RNA
Source: RNAcentral